CCAGACUCCUACGGGAGGCAGCAGUGAGGAAUAUUGGUCAAUGGGAGAGAUCCUGAACCAGCCAAGCCGCGUGAGGGAAGACGGCCCUAUGGAUUGUAAACCUCUUUUGUCAGGGAGCAAAGGGCGCCACGUGUGGCGCUUUGCGAGUACCUGAAGAAAAAGCAUCGGCUAACUCCGUGCCAGCAGCCGCGGUAAUACGGAGGAUGCGAGCGUUAUCCGGAUUUAUUGGGUUUAAAGGGUGCGUAGGCGGACGCUUAAGUCAGCGGUAAAAUUGCGGGGCUCACCCUCGUCGAGCCGUUGAAACUGGGUGCCUUGAGUGGGCGAGAAGUACGCGGAAUGCGUGGUGUAGCGGUGAAAUGCAUAGAUAUCACGCAGAACUCCGAUUGCGAAGGCAGCGUACCGGCGCCCAACUGACGCUGAAGCACGAAGGCGUGGGUAUCGAGCAGGAUUAGAUACCCCGGUAGC
RNAcentral lists this ribosomal RNA (465 nucleotides) under uncultured bacterium. Its description in RNAcentral is "bacterial SSU rRNA". It matches the Rfam family "Bacterial small subunit ribosomal RNA", at positions 331 to 794 of the family's 1533-position model. The record is from RNAcentral.